Long non-coding RNA from Meriones unguiculatus (Mongolian gerbil), 1961 nucleotides. RefSeq lists it as uncharacterized. NCBI's taxonomy places the organism in Eukaryota, Metazoa, Chordata, Mammalia, Rodentia, Muridae. The record is from RefSeq and is a predicted model, not a curated record. The transcript is spliced from 4 exons.
CUCCCCAGCUGUGGAAUGUAACAUGCUGGCCAUAUCUUAUUAAUCACUUUUAUCUCACCAGCGUUCUUCCCCAGUGCUCAGCAGAGUACCUGGACCGCUGGCAUGCUUGGUAAAGAUGGUGAUGACGAGGAUGAAGUCACAGGCCAUCUAAAAUGAGGUGGUUAACCUGCUUAGCAAGUCCUACACAUCAUAGAUAUUAAUAAUGAUGACAAAGAUCACCGAAGCAGGAGGGUGCGUGGGCUGGAUAUGGGGGUAGUCAGCAGUGUCUUAAACAGGAAGUGGCGCAGAGAAGCCUCGAAGCAAGGCCUUUACUACCCUCAUUCCUAUGCCUGUGCUUCUACAUAAAUACAGAAAGCGUUAUCUGAGCAGUUUGGGUUCUCCUGGACAAGAACUCAUCCCCGCUCCUACUAGACUGCAAUUCGGUAUGCAAGAACUGCACAGGAAUAAAAAUCAGUAGUGCUAUUCCCUCACUCUUUCGUGUGAGGACACAUCCAUCCACCCAUUUGUCAGGCAUCUACCAUGUGUCUGUUACUUUACUAUUAGCUGCUCAUGAGCUACAAUCAAGAAAGAGCUAAAGUGGACUUGGCCUCUGUCCUUGCUGAGCUUGAAAUCUUCCCACCAGCGAUCAUAUCAUCACACAUACCAGACAUGGUGGUGCAGAGCUGUAAUCCCAGCACUCAAGAGGUGGAGGCGGGAAGAUCACAAGUUCAUGUUCACCCUUGGCUAUACAGUUAGGGACAGGCUUGAACUACAUGACUCUGUCUCGAAAAGAAAUUAUCACAUACUGUGAGGUACAAAAUUUACGGCUAUGGUAAAGUGCUCUGUGGGAGAGAAUGAAGGCAGGUUGUAAGAAGAUGUAGACAGAAGGAGGCCCCUUUCAUCCCACAGAAACCAGAAACUGAGUAGACACAGAUGUCCGUGCCAAGCCAUACAAGGCCUCAACAGAGCCCACCUGCCACCACACUGAUAGAUGCCCCCAUCCCAAGGAGCAAGUUGACCAAGCACCUGUAGGUGAUCUUCGAAGAUGUCCAGUCCAGGAAGCAGUUAGACAGAAAAAGGUGCACACACUGAGGAUUUACCAGCCAGACACCCAGCUGGCUGUCCAUGACUCACUGAUCACCUGUUCCAUCGCCGUAAGUAGGGAAAAGACACAGAGCAUGGUUUACGAAUGAGAUGAGCAACUUGCCGCAGUUCCUAGGACUUCCCCAGUUUUAGUAUUGAAAGCCCGAUCUUUUGAAAAUCUUUGAAGACAGAGCUCUGUGUUGUGUUCAGGAGCUCUUCCUCAUUCUCUUCAGUGAGACUUUUUCAAUUGACCUGUGUGCAUGUGGGUGCUGGAAUAAUACCUGUGGCUGCUUGCGCUGUGUGCCCAGUGCCAGCAUUUACGAGAAGCCCAAUGGCAGCAGUGGCAGUGAGGAUGAGCGGCUGCUAGGUCCCUCCUCUAUCGCUGGUGGGUUACACCCUAAGAAGAAGAGGAGAAGGUGGAGGAGGAAGAGCAAGAAGAAGAAGAAGAGGAGGAGGAGGAACAGGAGGAGGAGGGGGAGGAAGAAGAAUUUUGUCAAAAAGAACCCAACAGGGCCCACCCUCCUUUGCCAAGUUCCGAAGGAUACCGAAGUUCAGAGGAGUCAGCCGAUUAUUUGCUCCACGUCACAAACCUUCCAUGCAGAAGAGCCUGUAUUCAAAUCCUGAUCUGCCUGAUUCAGACAUCAAGGUCUCAGCCAACCACUGCCAUACUCCAUAGUUUUGUGAUCCUGAAGAACCAAGCUCUGGCAGGCUUAGGGAAUGUCCAAGUGAUGCAUGAACCAUCUGAAGAAGGUAGAGCCAUGACUCAUCCCGGCUGCUAUUUUGUGGGAGGACCCAGCAAUUUUUCUUUGUGAUGGGAGCCUGCUGGGAGCAAUUUAGAUAUGAAGCAACUUCUGUUUGGUGCAUAGUAGAGAUUCAAUAAAGACUUGUUGAUUGACUAA